CCUGGCAUUUAAUAACGAACACCAGAAAAAGCAGUAAAACUGAGUUCUGAAUGGCAUCUUCAAUCUUCAGGCCCCCGGCCCUCCAGGAGAAACCCCAUGUCCUCCAGCCGCCAAGAUAUCCG
Molecule: long non-coding RNA, 122 nt
Filed under: Mus spicilegus (steppe mouse)
Lineage: Eukaryota; Metazoa; Chordata; Mammalia; Rodentia; Muridae
Description: lncRNA (ENSMSIG00000002582.1)
Source: RNAcentral